CUUAAAUAACGGGCUAAUUUUGUAGCAGACCUUUUGUUUGAUAUUAUUUAGCCUUGAUUUGGGGCAUGUUUUUGCUGAUGGCCUCUGAUGUAUUCUAGCCUCAGAAAGUUCUCGUUUAAACACAGAGGAAUGUCUCUCUGUCCGUCUGCAGGAGGAGUGUCGUCUGCAGCUGGAGGCUCAGCGCAUCAGUCUGUCUCAGAUCCACGCCGCUCACCUGGAGCUGCUCCGAGAGAGUCUGUGUGCGCAGACGCAGGAGGAGAGGAGGAGAGAGAACGGUCAUCCCGCAGGUCACAUCAAACGCUCUUUCAGAUCCAUUAUUAAGAGAUCCAUCAGCAUGAAAGAGAGAGGCACUGUCAAACGGCUCACUUACUCUGUGCUCAUACCCAGAGAUUAUUUAUGUCAUGGCUGCUAACCGAUGUGAUAGUUAGGAUUGAAUGCAGUCCCAAAAUGAUUGAUUGAAUUGAAAAAACGAAUGAUUGAAUUCCCGAACGUUUUUGUCAGCCGAACACCUUUGAACUAAAAAAAUAAGCGUUAAGUAAUUUAACAGCACGUUCACAUGUUGCAGUGUGAAGCCUGUAAACAGUGGCAGGAUUUCCUCACGUGUUUCUCCUGUUCCUGCAGAGCUCAUGGCAGAGUCUGAGGAGUGCUCUGCGCGUCUGGAGAUCGAGCGGCUGAAGAGCGACUAUCAGCAGCAGAUGGAGGAGACGCAGGAACGCUUCAAGGCCGAGGUCCUCCUGCUGCAGAGGAGACUCCAGGAGCUCACAGGAGCCGGCGAGAUCUUCAGCAUGCCGAGCGUCUAUCCGCCGCUGACGAGAGACGAGCGCCGUGAACAUCUUCAGGUGAUCGUGCAGAUGUCGGUUGAGUUCGCCCAGCAGACCGAAGAGGCCCGGAUCAGCAAACAGGCCCGCGAGACAAGCACCGGCACACAGACGGACGACAGCGAGGAUGAGGAGGAACGACUGAACUCUGUGAGCCUGAUGAAGUCUCCUGAAGAAGAGCAGACCUUCAUCACUGAACACACAACACAAGAGGAGGAGGAUGAGGAGGAUGAAGAGCACUUGCGCUCUGAGCUGGUCCCGCAGGAGGAGGCUCUCAGAUCGUCACACACACUUCAGCUGGAGGCGUAUCAGGGGCAGAACACACUCCUGACGGCUCAGAUACACACACUCACCCAGCAGCUCCUGCAGACGGAGCUGGAGCUGCAGCAGAUGAAGGAGAGACGAGACGAGACAGAGAGACGGAGAGAUGAACACCUGCUUCCCAGCAUGCAAAGCUGCAGCACACAGACAGAGCAGGUAGUGUAAACAGUACAGUUUCACUCCUCCCUUC
This 1329-nucleotide long non-coding RNA is filed under the name Sinocyclocheilus anshuiensis. RNAcentral's name for it is "lncRNA (ENSSANG00000041982.1)". Lineage: Eukaryota; Metazoa; Chordata; Actinopteri; Cypriniformes; Cyprinidae. The record is from RNAcentral.